Molecule: ribosomal RNA, 522 nt
Filed under: uncultured Glomus
Lineage: Eukaryota; Fungi; Glomeromycota; Glomeromycetes; Glomerales; Glomeraceae
Description: SSU rRNA
Rfam family: Eukaryotic small subunit ribosomal RNA
Source: RNAcentral
AGCAGCCGCGGUAAUUCCAGCUCCAAUAGCGUAUAUUAAAGUUGUUGCAGUUAAAAAGCUCGUAGUUGAAUUUCGGGGUCAGUAGGUUGGUCAUGCCUUCGGUAUGUACUGGUCUCACUGAUUCCUCCCUCUUGAAGAACUGUAAUGUCAUUAAUUUGGUGUUGCGGGGAAACAGGACUGUUACUUUGAAAAAAUUAGAGUGUUUAAAGCAGGCUCACGCUUGAAUACAUUAGCAUGGAAUAAUGAAAUAGGACGUUCGAUCCUAUUUUGUUGGUUUCUAGGAUUGACGUAAUGAUUAAUAGGGAUAGUUGGGGGCAUUAGUAUUCAAUUGUCAGAGGUGAAAUUCUUGGAUUUAUUGAAGACUAACUACUGCGAAAGCAUUUGCCAAGGAUGUUUUCAUUAAUCAAGAACGAAAGUUAGGGGAUCGAAGACGAUCAGAUACCGUCGUAGUCUUAACCAUAAACUAUGCCGACUAGGGAUCGGAUGAUGUUAAUUUUUUAAUGACUCAUUCGGCGCCUUACG